Molecule: signal recognition particle RNA, 288 nt
Filed under: Microcebus murinus (gray mouse lemur)
Lineage: Eukaryota; Metazoa; Chordata; Mammalia; Primates; Cheirogaleidae
Description: Metazoan signal recognition particle RNA (ENSMICG00000029830.2)
Rfam family: Metazoan signal recognition particle RNA
About the family: The signal recognition particle (SRP) is a universally conserved ribonucleoprotein. It is involved in the co-translational targeting of proteins to membranes.
Source: RNAcentral
GCCAGGUGCAGCGGCAUGCACCUGUAGUCCCAGCUACUCAGGAGGCUGAGGUGGGAAGAUCACUUGAGCCCAGAAAUUCUGGGCUAUAGUAUGCUAUACCAAUUGAGUGUCCACACUAAGUUCAGCAUCAAUAUGGUGACUUCCCAAAGUAAGAGACCACCAAGGAGGUGUGAACCACCCCACUAGGAAAGGGAGAAUGUCAAAAUUCCCAUGCUAAUCAGUAGGAAGAUCACAACUCUGGAUAGCCACUGUUCUCUGGCCUGGGCAACAUAGCAAGACCCCAUCUCU